RNAcentral lists this long non-coding RNA (1795 nucleotides) under Gossypium barbadense (sea-island cotton). RNAcentral's name for it is "long non-coding RNA (GBAR_LNC008733)". The record is from RNAcentral. Lineage: Eukaryota; Viridiplantae; Streptophyta; Magnoliopsida; Malvales; Malvaceae.
CGAAAAUUUAAAUAAGUGGUUUAGAGUUGUUUAAAAGGUAAGAUAAGUUUAGUAACACCUCAAGCUUGACUCCGGUGACGGUUUCGGGCGUGGGGGUGUUACAUUACAUGAAAAGGCAUUGGGAUCACCCAACCCGACUAGUUUGACAAGUAACAACAAAAGCGAAAUAAAGCCAAAAACACAAAAGAGCACGACAUCCCAACAAUGAAACCAAAAUGCUCCACACAAAAUUAACAACGGGAGACCAACAAAACACGAAACCGCCAUUGCAUCAAUUGCUCGACAUGUGAUUCUAAUUCAUACCUCAGCCACAACAAAAAAUUACCACCCAAAAACAAGAUCAGCUCUCAAAACGACCACGAUCAAAUGCGACAAACAAACAACUAAUCCGAUACAUUGAUUGUAUUGUAAAAAAAACCAACUCCUUCCAAAUUAACACCAACCCCAUCACUGCAACCUCAUUACAUACCAAAAUGACCGUCCAAUCCUUGACCUCACCUGCACAAUAACCAGAUAAUAAGACCAGAAAACAACCCCAGUAGCAUUAAAAAAAACCCAACCCAACCCAGACAAACCCCAAACCAACCGCCAUCCACGUAACAAAGUACCAUACAUCCAAUUCCAAUAACACCAAUUUAUACCUCGAAAGCGAAACCAACACACAAAGAACGUAAAAAACAGCCAAGAGAAUUAAGCAAACCAAAAUAAUAGGCAGAAUUCCUACUCCAAUUCAAACAACAACAUCCAAAAAAAUUCUAACAAACAAAAACACCAACAUCACAAUCAACUAUCUAAUGGAUUCCAUAGUUGAAGUGACUGACAAAAUUUGAACAAUUAGAUCUCAAUAGAAAUGAAUAUCAUUACACCAUGACUGACUUGCAUCUUGUGUAUUUCAGAUAUCAACAAUGGCUUGCGUAUCUGAUUGCAAAAUAACGAAGAAAUAAAGCAGUAUCUGAUAAUAAAUAUUCUUAAGACACUUUACCUGCUCGGCACCAAUGACCCAGUGAUGCCAAUACCCUAGAUGGAAUGUGCAACACUGGAAUGUAGAUACAAUUACAAAAAAUUAAAAAAACCAAAUAUUAGAGAUGACCCAACGAGAAAAUGCAGAAAUUCCGAGGAAACAAACAAGAGAUAAGAAAAACAGAGAAAAUCAGUAAUCAUAAACAAAUAAAUCAGAGUAAAUUAUCAAAUGCAAUGUAGUUACCCAGCCAGAAAUGCAGAAAUUCCAAGGAAACAAACAAGCGAUAAGAAAAACAGAGAAAAUCAGUUUCCCAUAAAUUAUGGAUCCUAAUCACCGGAAGAGGAAAUUGAUGUACAAAAUGGGGGCAAGUUUCUACAAUCUAACUUUUAGGUUUAAGCACUAAAUCUUUCUCAUUCUUCUAGUUGGAGAAAAUAAAGAAAGAAGCAGUUGAAAGAUGCAAAACCCAAAUAGAUUAAACAAACAGAUGCAAAAUCUAAAUAGAUUCUUUAACAAAAAAAAAGGAAGAAGAAGAUUUGAAUUAAAGAGGUGACAAACAUGAAAUGCAGAUUAAAUAAAGCAUAAAAAUGUUACCUGGAUGAAGAAGGAAAAGGAAGAUGAAGAACGGGAUGAGGAAAAAAUUUGGUGAAAGUUUUGGAUGAUGGAAAAUGUCUUACCGAAAUCGGUAAAACAUUUUUCGUAAAAUCCAUCUCUUUUUACCCAUGCUUUGUAAAACAUUUUCCAAAUGUAAUUGAUUUUCAAUCAAACAAACACUGUAAAACCAGGAAAACAUUUCCCAGAAAAUGUUUUCCUGCCAAACAAACGCACCCUAAAUGG